CUGGAGAUGGAGCUGGGGCGGGAGAGGCGGAGGCACUAUCUGCCUCUGCCAUUUGGAGUGGGAACAAAUAAGCAGCAGUGAUCAGAUUUCCUCCAGUUUUCCUGGAUCUAAGCUUUUUGACUCAUGUGCUUCAACUGUAUCUUUGGCAAGUGCUUGAAAAUUCAAUAUCUGAAUUGAGAAAAACAGUAACAGAACUGGAGAAAAAGCUUAGCAGUGUUGAAGAUGAAGGUAAUGAGUGGAAAACCAGAUACGAGAUGCAAGUAGAACUGAACAGCCAGCUGCAAAGACAAAUUCAUAUUCUUAAAGACAAGGUGGAGCUUAUUCGUGGAAAUCCAACAGGGUUCCUUGAAGGAGUUUCUUGAACAACUAAAAGAAGAGAAGAAAAGUCUCCAGAGUCAGCUAAAAGAUUAUGAACUUAGACUGGAACAGGAGGCAAAGGUUUGUAAAUCACUGUAUGCAUCUAGUUUAUAAAAGCUGUUACGUUGUCUGACAGACAGACAAGGUGUGUGGGACACACAACAGAAUAGUUUGCUUAAUGGAAUCCUGUGCUAUUUAUUUUAAACAUAGGCUUACCACAAAGCUAAUGAUGAGCGGCGCAUGUACCUUGCAGAGAUUUUGCAGGUAAGAAAAAGACCUGUGUGACUCGAUGGGAGCUGGAGCAUCUCUUGUGAGGAAUGGCUGAGAGACCUGGGACUGCUCAGGCUGGGAAAGCAAAGACUGGAAGAGGUUCUUGUCAGUGCUUACAAACAUCUAAAGGACGGGAGUCAAGUGGAUGAGUUCUUCUCAGGCUCUUCUCAGCAGUGCCCAGUGACUGAAAAAGGGCAGUAGGCAAAAACUGGAACAUAGGAAGUUCCAUACAACAUGAGGAAAAAAAUCUUUACUUUGAGGGUGACAGAGCACUGGAACAGGCUGUUUUUGUAUCAAUUGGAAUUUAAUUGCUCACAAACAUAGUCAGUACCCUUAACUGAGAAAGCUGAAGCAGCUUUCUGAUUGCCCAUCCAGGAGUGACAAAGACUACUGUGCUGCAGUUCUGUGCUUCAGCUGAAAAGAGCAGAACCGAAUUAUUAGUGGCAUUGACACCUUAAGAAAAUUCCUCUUUUUCAUGUUUCCCCCUUUUUAUCUUUUAAAGACAAGGUAGCCAGUCAGCUCAGAUUGACAACACAAUUAAAUUUACAAGAUAUAAGGUACCUUGUUUUUAUGAACUCGGGGGUUAAAUUUUAUUACUGCAAAUUAUGUAACACAUAAAAGUUGAUAGUAUAAACUGCAG
This 1267-nucleotide long non-coding RNA is filed under the name Gallus gallus (chicken). RNAcentral's name for it is "long non-coding RNA NONGGAT001292". The record is from RNAcentral. Lineage: Eukaryota; Metazoa; Chordata; Aves; Galliformes; Phasianidae.